RNAcentral lists this ribosomal RNA (551 nucleotides) under Neobacillus thermocopriae. RNAcentral's name for it is "bacterial SSU rRNA". It matches the Rfam family "Bacterial small subunit ribosomal RNA", at positions 61 to 595 of the family's 1533-position model. Lineage: Bacteria; Bacillati; Bacillota; Bacilli; Caryophanales; Bacillaceae. The record is from RNAcentral.
GUCGAGCGGACCAAUAGAAGCUUGCUUCUGUUGGUUAGCGGCGGACGGGUGAGUAACACGUGGGCAACCUGCCUGUAAGACUGGGAUAACUUCGGGAAACCGGAGCUAAUACCGGAUAAUUCAUCCCCUCGCAUGAGGGGGUGCUGAAAGUCGGUUCACGCUGACACUUACAGAUGGGCCCGCGGCGCAUUAGCUAGUUGGUGAGGUAAUGGCUCACCAAGGCGACGAUGCGUAGCCGACCUGAGAGGGUGAUCGGCCACACUGGGACUGAGACACGGCCCAGACUCCUACGGGAGGCAGCAGUAGGGAAUCUUCCACAAUGGACGAAAGUCUGAUGGAGCAACGCCGCGUGAGCGAUGAAGGCCUUCGGGUCGUAAAGCUCUGUUGUUAGGGAAGAACAAGUACCGGAGUAACUGCCGGUACCUUGACGGUACCUAACCAGAAAGCCACGGCUAACUACGUGCCAGCAGCCGCGGUAAUACGUAGGUGGCAAGCGUUGUCCGGAAUUAUUGGGCGUAAAGCGCGCGCAGGCGGUCCUUUAAGUCUGAUGU